UCGAGGGGCAGCAUGAACUUAGCUUGCUAAGUUUGAUGGCGACCGGCGCACGGGUGAGUAACACGUAUCCAACCUGCCGAUGACUCGGGGAAAGCCUUUCGAAAGAAAGAUUAAUACCCGAUGGCAUAGUUCUUCCGCAUGGUAGAACUAUUAAAGAAUUUCGGUCAUCGAUGGGGAUGCGUUCCAUUAGGUUGUUGGCGGGGUAACGGCCCACCAAGCCUUCGAUGGAUAGGGGUUCUGAGAGGAAGGUCCCCCACAUUGGAACUGAGACACGGUCCAAACUCCUACGGGAGGCAGCAGUGAGGAAUAUUGGUCGAUGGACGAGAGUCUGAACCAGCCAAGUAGCGUGAAGGAUGACUGCCCUAUGGGUUGUAAACUUCUUUUAUACGGGAAUAAAGUGAGGCACGUGUGCCUUUUUGUAUGUACCGUAUGAAUAAGGAUCGGCUAACUCCGUGCCAGCAGCCGCGGUAAUACGGAGGAUCCGAGCGUUAUCCGGAUUUAUUGGGUUUAAAGGGAGCGUAGGCGGACGCUUAAGUCAGUUGUGAAAGUUUGCGGCUCAACCGUAAAAUUGCAGUUGAUACUGGGUGUCUUGAGUACAGUAGAGGCAGGCGGAAUUCGUGGUGUAGCGGUGAAAUGCUUAGAUAUCACGAAGAACUCCGAUUGCGAAGGCAGCCUGCUGGACUGUAACUGACGCUGAUG
This 699-nucleotide ribosomal RNA is filed under the name uncultured Bacteroidales bacterium. RNAcentral describes it as "bacterial SSU rRNA". It matches the Rfam family "Bacterial small subunit ribosomal RNA", at positions 62 to 751 of the family's 1533-position model. The record is from RNAcentral. Lineage: Bacteria; Pseudomonadati; Bacteroidota; Bacteroidia; Bacteroidales.